AGUGGACUGAAAGGAAGGGGAUAUGGGCUCAUACAGAGGGAGGACCCUCUCCAUCACCAUAUGGUGCAACAAUUCGAGCUCUUAUUCAAGCUGCUUUUUGCAUGGCCCUGUAUCUAUACCUGGUGCCCCACUUUCCCUUGUCCCAGUUCACUGAUCCUGUGUACCAAGAAUGGGGCUUCUGGAAACGGUUGAGUUACCAAUAUAUGUCCGGCUUCACAGCACGUUGGAAAUACUAUUUCAUCUGGUCAAUUUCUGAGGCCUCUAUUAUUAUCUCUGGCCUGGGUUU
RNAcentral lists this unclassified non-coding RNA (286 nucleotides) under Hevea brasiliensis (rubber tree). The record is from RNAcentral. Lineage: Eukaryota; Viridiplantae; Streptophyta; Magnoliopsida; Malpighiales; Euphorbiaceae.